AGCGCCAUUUCCAGAGCUAUAAACAGUCUCAUUGUCAUAGCUCUUUGAAUGGUACUGC
Molecule: microRNA precursor, 58 nt
Filed under: Columba livia (rock pigeon)
Lineage: Eukaryota; Metazoa; Chordata; Aves; Columbiformes; Columbidae
Description: Cli-Mir-458_pre stem-loop
Rfam family: mir-458 microRNA precursor family
Source: RNAcentral